This 171-nucleotide small RNA is filed under the name Oryza sativa Japonica Group (Japanese rice). RNAcentral's name for it is "sRNA Os03g0167100". The record is from RNAcentral. Lineage: Eukaryota; Viridiplantae; Streptophyta; Magnoliopsida; Poales; Poaceae.
GAGGCUUCGCUGAACCUUCUUGCACGAAUUCAGACAUGUCUGUCGUACUGUGGUUGUCUGAUUGUCUUUGAGCUCUAGACCUGAUGACAAUCUCGCAUUUUUUGUUUUAUAUAACUGAGCUGAAUUUCACUUGAUGCAAUGUGACAUGGUUGUGCUCGAUAAUAUUAGCUG